This 1898-nucleotide long non-coding RNA is filed under the name Pan troglodytes (chimpanzee). Its description in RNAcentral is "long non-coding RNA NONPTRT000845". The record is from RNAcentral. Lineage: Eukaryota; Metazoa; Chordata; Mammalia; Primates; Hominidae.
AUCCCAGCUGUUCAGGAGGUUGAGGCAUGAGAAUCACUUGAACCCAGGAGGCAGGGGUUGCAGUGAGCCAAGAUCGCGCCACUGCACUCCAGCCUGGGUGACAGGGAGACCCUUUUUCAAAAAAAAAAAAAAAAAAAAAAAAAGAUAAGCAAAAUGUGGCACACACAUGCAAGGGAACAUCCCUCAGUCAUACAAAGGAAGGAAAUGCUGACAUAUGGUACCACGUGCCGCACGUGGGCUAUGACACCGGACCCUCGCCAAACCUUACAGGCCAGCCUCGGGGUGGUGCUGUAUCAGUGAAGACGCUCAGGUCGAGGUUGGCAAGCUGGGCUUUGGAGAGCAGGGAGUCCGGUGCUCCAGUGCCCGACUCCAGAGCCUUAAUUAGCCACCAUUCGGCACAGUUUCUCUCUGGGACAUCAGCACCCUGCCACUCUCUUUUAAUGGUGUUUCUGACACCUUCCUAAAAUGACAGAGGCACCCAGAACCUGAGCAACACUGCACACCGGCUGGCCAGCAGAGAGUGCAGUGUGACGGCUUCCCUCCUUGCUGUAGGACAGGGGUUGGAAAACUGCUGCGCCAGCCUGUCACCUGUGUUUGUGCAGCCCUCGAGCUAAGAAUAGUUUUUACAGUUUUAUUUAUUUCAUUUAAUUUUUUUUAGGAGAAGGGAACUUACUCUGUUGCCCAGGCUGGAGUACAGUGGCAUGAUCACAGCUCACUGCAGCCUUGAACUCCUGGGCUCAAGUGAUCCGUCUGCCUCAGCCUCCCAAGUAGCUGGAACUACAUGUGUGUGCCACCCCCCCCCCCCGGCUAAUUUUAUAAUUUUUUGUAGAGACAGAAUCUUGUUAUGUUGCCCAGGCUGGUCUCAGACUCUUGGCCUUACACUGUCCUCUUGCCUCAGCCUCCCAUAGUGCUGGGAUUACAGGUGUGAACCACUGUGCCCAGUCCAAUUUUUACAGUUUUAAACGAAAGAAAACCAAAAGAAGAAUAACAUUUCAUAACACACAAAAUUUAUAUAAAGUUCCAAUCUCAGCAUCCAUAAAUAAAGUUUUAUUGGCAGGUAGCCAAGCUAUCUUGUUAUCUUAGUGAGCUUGGGGCUGCCAUAAUGAAAUACCACAACCUGGGUGGCUUAAACAACAGACAUUUCUGUCUCACGGUGCUGGAGGCUGGUAAAUCCAACAUCAGGGUCCUGGCUGAUUUGGUUCCCGGUGAGGGCUCUCUCUUGCAGACAGAAUUCCUUCCUGCUGGGUCCACACGGGGUAGGGAGGGAGCUCUGGCCUUUUCCUCUUCUUACCAAGGCACUAGUCCUGUCGUGAGGCCUCUAUCCCAAAAUAAAAAAAAUUAGCUGGGCGUUGUGGUGCAUACCUGUGGUCCCAGCUACUUGGGAUGCUGAGGUUGGAGGAUCGCUUGAGCGAUCCCAGGAGGCCCAGGCUGCAGUGAGCCACGAUCACUCCGCUGCACUCCAGCCUGGGCAACAGAGCGAGACCUGAGCUUAUCUAAACCUUGUCACCCCCAGAGCCCCACCUCUUAAUACCAUCACAUUGAGGAUUAGGGCUAUCCAUCUUGGGGGACAGAAACAUUCAGUACACAGCACCUAUUUACAUAUUGCCCGGGGCUGCUUUCACGCUACUAUGGCAGACCUGAGUAGUUGCAAUAGAGACUGAAUUUCCUGCAAGCUGAAAACAUCGACUAUCUGGUCCUCUAUGAAAACAUUUGCCUGGCUGGGCGCAGUGGCUCAUGCUUGUAAUCCCAGCACUUUGGGAUUGGGAGGCUGUGGUGGGAGGAUUGCUUGAGCUGAGUUCAAAACCAGCCUGGGCAACACAGUGAGACACCUUUUCUACAAAAUUACAAAAAAAAUUAGUUGGGUGUGGUUUACAGCUAUGGGAUUACAGGUGGGUGCC